GACGAACGCUGGCGGCGUGCUUAACACAUGCCAGUCGAACGGAAAGGCCCUGCUUUUGUGGGGUGCUCGAGUGGCGAACGGGUGAGUAACACGUGAGUAACCUGCCCUUGACUUUGGGAUAACUUCAGGAAACUGGGGCUAAUACCGGAUAGGAGCUCCUGCUGCAUGGUGGGGGUUGGAAAGUUUCGGCGGUUGGGGAUGGACUCGCGGCUUAUCAGCUUGUUGGUGGGGUAGUGGCUUACCAAGGCUUUGACGGGUAGCCGGCCUGAGAGGGUGACCGGCCACAUUGGGACUGAGAUACGGCCCAGACUCCUACGGGAGGCAGCAGUGGGGAAUAUUGUACAAUGGGCGGAAGCCUGAUGCAGCAACGCCGCGUGCAGGAUGACGGCCUUCGGGUUGUAAACCGCUUUCGCCUGUGACGAAGCGUGAGUGACGGUAAUGGGUAAAGAAGCACCGGCUAACUACGUG
Molecule: ribosomal RNA, 468 nt
Filed under: uncultured bacterium
Lineage: Bacteria
Description: partial 16S ribosomal RNA
Rfam family: Bacterial small subunit ribosomal RNA
Source: RNAcentral